UGUGUUGUUUGUGUGAGAGUUUAGAGCCUUUAUAUAGAGUUUACAAACACCCUUUGAAGGUUUCUGAAGGUGUAUGAGUUGUUUGGAGUGAAGAGAUUUCGUUUGGAGUGAACACCUUUCACUUUGAAAUCUGAAAAGCACUUCCAACAGCUCUCAGUAAUGGGUUACUCAUUUGAGUAAUGGGUUACUCAAACUUUCUGUCCA
RNAcentral lists this long non-coding RNA (204 nucleotides) under Lupinus angustifolius (narrow-leaved blue lupine). Its description in RNAcentral is "long non-coding RNA (LANG_LNC002022)". Lineage: Eukaryota; Viridiplantae; Streptophyta; Magnoliopsida; Fabales; Fabaceae. The record is from RNAcentral.